GCCCCGCCCCUCAGUACAACAUGAAUUGAGGAGAGGAGGAGGAAUGGUCAGUUUCAGUUUGAACAUAGAUAUUAAAAUGACAGAGAUUUUCUUUCUGAUAGCCCGUUUUCUAGAGGAGAGCUCUUGUAGGAGAGCGUCUAAGGUACUGAUAGAAGAGUUGG
Amphimedon queenslandica is the source of this 161-nucleotide long non-coding RNA. RefSeq lists it as uncharacterized. The transcript is spliced from 3 exons. Lineage: Eukaryota; Metazoa; Porifera; Demospongiae; Haplosclerida; Niphatidae. The record is from RefSeq and is a predicted model, not a curated record.